UCCCUGCCUUCCCCGCCGCCGAUCGCGCCGGGCCGGGCCGCCUCUCACCUGUGUCGAGGUUGAAGGAGAUGCGGGCCUCGGCGAGGUAGGGGGUGUCGCUCUUGGAGCGGACGCGGCGGAUGGGUCUGCGGUCGAUGUCCUCCUCGGAAGAUGCCGCCAUUAAUGUGGGCACGCUUUUCUAUGUAGGACUUUUCUUCACUGCCCAAUGGGAAAGAGAAUGACAACGUGCUAGAAAUUGAGAAGAAGCUUUACACAUUCAAAGAUGCUGCUCCUGGCCUUUUGUUCAGCAGAGAGAGAAAAUAAAGCAACAUCUACAAAACUUCUGCAUUUGGAAGCAACAUAAGUUCUCUUGGACACCCGAAAGGUUCUUCCUCUCCCAUCUUCCUUAACAGGGCUGCAGGCGGAAUGUGAGAAGGAGCAAUAUGAAUGUGUGGUGAGCACCUCACAGCAUUCCCUGGGGC
Molecule: long non-coding RNA, 461 nt
Organism: Hirundo rustica (Barn swallow)
Lineage: Eukaryota; Metazoa; Chordata; Aves; Passeriformes; Hirundinidae
Exons: 3
Source: RefSeq, a predicted model, not a curated record